Molecule: unclassified non-coding RNA, 22 nt
Filed under: Dictyostelium discoideum
Lineage: Eukaryota; Evosea; Eumycetozoa; Dictyosteliales; Dictyosteliaceae
Source: RNAcentral
UGUAUCAUCCAACGUCAAGAAC